CUUGUUUACCUAUAAGAGGUCCAGCCUGCCCAGUGACUCUGUUCAACGGCCGCGGUAUCCUAACCGUGCGAAGGUAGCGUAAUCACUUGUUCUUUAAAUGAGGACUAGUAUGAAUGGCACCACGAAGGUUAUACUGUCUCCUCUCUCUAAUCAGUGAAACUAAUCUCCCCGUGAAGAAGCGGGGAUAAUCUUAUAAGACGAGAAGACCCUAUGGAGCUUUAAACUAAGAAUCAACUGCCUUUACCAUAUUUAAAUUCCAGAAGACUAACUUUUACCAAGACAUUCUGAUUUCUAGUUUUAGGUUGGGGUGACCACGGAGUAAAAACUAACCUCCGCAAUGAACAGGGAUCUUCCCUUAACCAAGGACCACAACCCCAAGAAUCAAUACAUUGACAUCAAUUGACCCAUUAAAC
This 413-nucleotide ribosomal RNA is filed under the name Leptodactylus myersi group sp. ABGD cluster 47. RNAcentral's name for it is "partial large subunit ribosomal RNA". It matches the Rfam family "Bacterial large subunit ribosomal RNA", at positions 1834 to 2428 of the family's 2925-position model. The record is from RNAcentral. Lineage: Eukaryota; Metazoa; Chordata; Amphibia; Anura; Leptodactylidae.